GACGAACGCUGGCGGCGCGCUUAACACAUGCAAGUCGAACGGAAAGGCCUGCUUUCCCUUGUGGAUUGCGGGUACUCGAGUGGCGAACGGGUGAGUAACACGUGAGUGAUCUGCCCCCAACUUGGGUAUAAGCCUGGGAAACUGGGUCUAAUUCCCGAUAGGACUGCAGGGUGGUGCCUGUGGUGGAAAACGAUUUUCUAGUGGUUGGGGAUGAGCUCGCGGCCUAUCAGCUUGUUGGUGGGGUAAUGGCCUACCAAGGCGGCGACGGGUAGCCGGCCUGGGAGGGUGGACCGCCACAUUGGGACUGAGAUACGGCCCAGACUCCUACGGGAGGCAGCAGUGGGGAAUAUUGCACAAUGGGCGGAAGCCUGAGGCAGCGACGCCGCGUGGGGGAUGACGGCCUUCGGGUUGUAAACUCCUUUCGACCGCGAGGAAGCCACCUGGUUGGAAGGGUGGUGACGGUAGUGGUAGAAGAAGCACCGGCUAACUACGUG
This 494-nucleotide ribosomal RNA is filed under the name uncultured bacterium. Its description in RNAcentral is "partial 16S ribosomal RNA". It matches the Rfam family "Bacterial small subunit ribosomal RNA", at positions 28 to 507 of the family's 1533-position model. The record is from RNAcentral.